RNAcentral lists this ribosomal RNA (467 nucleotides) under uncultured bacterium. RNAcentral's name for it is "partial 16S ribosomal RNA". It matches the Rfam family "Bacterial small subunit ribosomal RNA", at positions 339 to 795 of the family's 1533-position model. The record is from RNAcentral.
CUACGGGUUGCAGCAGUGGGGAAUAUUGGACAAUGGGGGAAACCCUGAUCCAGCAAUGCCGCGUGUGUGAAGAAGGCCUGCGGGUUGUAAAGCACUUUCGGUUGGGAGGACUGCUUCUAGCACUAAUAUUGUUGGAAGUUGACGUUACCUUCAGAAGAAGCACCGGCUAACUCCGUGCCAGUCAGGCCGCGGUAAUACGGAGGGUGCAAGCGUUAAUCGGAAUUACUGGGCGUAAAGCGCGCGUAGGCGGCUAGAUCAGUCGGGUGUGAAAGCCCCGGGCUUAACCUGGGAACUGCAUCCGAUACUGUCUAGCUUGAGUACAGGAGAGGAGAGUGGAAUUCCACAUGUAGCGGUGAAAUGCGUAGAUAUGUGGAGGAACACCAAUGGCGAAGGCAGCUCUCUGGCCUGAUACGGACGCUGAGGUGCGAAAGCGUGGGUAGCAACCAGGAUUAGAUACCCUUGUAGUC